Molecule: ribosomal RNA, 436 nt
Filed under: uncultured bacterium
Lineage: Bacteria
Description: bacterial SSU rRNA
Rfam family: Bacterial small subunit ribosomal RNA
Source: RNAcentral
CCUACGGGUGGCAGCAGCAGGGAAUCUUGCGCAAUGGGCUAAAGCCUGACGCAGCGACACCGCGUGGGGGAUGAAGGCUUUAGGGUUGUAAACCCCUUUUCUCGGGGAAGAGUGAGGACGGUACCCGAGGAAUAAGCCUCGGCUAACUACGUGCCAGCAGCCGCGGUAACACGUAGGAGGCGAGCGUUGUCCGGAUUUACUGGGCGUAAAGGGCGAGUAGGCGGCCCGCCAAGUCUCAUGUGAAAUCUCCCGGCUCAACUGGGAGGGGUCAUGGGAAACUGGCGAGCUUGAGGUCAGCAGAGGAAAGUGGAAUUCCCGGAGUAGCGGUGAAAUGCGUAGAUACCGGGAGGAACAUCAGAGGCGAAGGCGACUUUCUGGGCUGCACCUGACGCUGAGGCGCGAAAGCAUGGGGAGCAAACCGGAUUAGAUACCCGGG